UUUGGGAUCUGCCUCCUGAUUUUUUUUUUUUUUUUUAAUAAUUUGGCCAAUUCCUUCGCCUCUCUCCCUUCCUACAGAUGCUGGGAACUUAGAAUAUGGGAGAGAGGAGGUACCAGGCAGAGGCUGCCUGGCCUGGGACACAUCCUCAGUGGCAGACUGCAGGACAGAGAGACAGCAGUCCAGCCUCUACCUACAGGACUCACAGGGGGCAGAGGAACGUGUUUAAUGACAUCACAAGGGAAAAGGCAGCCAGAUCCUGAAAGUGGAAAACUCCAUGGGAUGAGUGACCUCAUUCCUUCCACAAGUGAACAGCAUCACAAUAAAGGUGAUGGGCGUAAGGGAGACAUUAUAGAAGAGACUUAAGAAAUGUAUCUGCCAAAGUAGAGUAGGGAUCUUGUUUGGAUCCUGAUUUGAACAAACCAACUCUAAAAGACACCUUUGAGACAAUGGGGGAAAUGUAAUGCAGAUAUGGGUAUUACAUAA
This 483-nucleotide long non-coding RNA is filed under the name Ailuropoda melanoleuca (giant panda). RNAcentral describes it as "lncRNA (ENSAMEG00000030290.1)". Lineage: Eukaryota; Metazoa; Chordata; Mammalia; Carnivora; Ursidae. The record is from RNAcentral.